RNAcentral lists this non-coding RNA (70 nucleotides) under unclassified sequences. The record is from RNAcentral.
GGCCUACUAUGUAAUUCACCUUUUCGUGGUGUAGGCUAUAAGUACCUAAUUUAGGGAAACUAGGAAAUUG